GGUGACGUAGCGAAAUGGCAAACGCACUGGAUUUGAAAUCCAGGUCCCUUCGGGGGCAUGCAGGUUCGAAUCCUGCCGUCACCG
RNAcentral lists this transfer RNA (84 nucleotides) under Thermoplasmata archaeon. Its description in RNAcentral is "tRNA-Ser". It matches the Rfam family "tRNA". From Rfam's summary of the family: Transfer RNA (tRNA) molecules are approximately 80 nucleotides in length. Their secondary structure includes four short double-helical elements and three loops (D, anti-codon, and T loops). Further hydrogen bonds mediate the characteristic L-shaped molecular structure. tRNAs have two regions of fundamental functional importance: the anti-codon, which is responsible for specific mRNA codon recognition, and the 3' end, to which the tRNAs corresponding amino acid is attached (by aminoacyl-tRNA synthetases). tRNAs cope with the degeneracy of the genetic code in two manners: having more than one tRNA (with a specific anti-codon) for a particular amino acid; and 'wobble' base-pairing, i.e. permitting non-standard base-pairing at the 3rd anti-codon position. The record is from RNAcentral. Lineage: Archaea; Methanobacteriati; Thermoplasmatota; Thermoplasmata.